This is a long non-coding RNA of Pleuronectes platessa (European plaice), 1905 nucleotides long. RefSeq lists it as uncharacterized. NCBI's taxonomy places the organism in Eukaryota, Metazoa, Chordata, Actinopteri, Pleuronectiformes, Pleuronectidae. The transcript is spliced from 3 exons. The record is from RefSeq and is a predicted model, not a curated record.
UGUGUGUGUGUGUGCGCAUGUGUGAAUCUGGGGUGACUUAUUAAGGUUACUACAGGACACGGAGUUUGACCCAUUACAGUGCCACUGGCUUUGAUACAGAGGAGGUGGAAGCAACUGAGCAAAUAACCAAAUAGUUAGCUCGUUGCGGGAACCGUUUAGUUUCCCUAUAAUUCAACCUCAAUAUUCUCGACCUUAAAGAACCUUGAGAUUACCAUUUCUUCAAAAAUACAGCAAAACUACAAAGUGCUAUAAGCUGCCAUCCCUUAUUCCUUCAGUGAAACAGGCAAAACCCGACUGAGUUAAAACUGGACGAUGAGCAGAGCAGAACGAGUGAGAAACAAUGGCGGCCUGUCAGAUGUUUGUAUCUCUCCUGGAGGCCAAUUAGGUGUCUUGCCGGCUGCGGGUCUCCUGCUGCUGUCGCUCUAUUUCGGGGCAGGAGGAUGUGCUGUGUAAGCACGUCUGCACUGUGGCGUUCGCUGGUUUGUUUUAACCCUGCAGUCUCCACGUGAGCCGGUUCCUUUCACAAACGGCUGCCAGUAUCAGGUGUCCCGAUGGGAGUCAGCAGACGUGGGUGAUUUGCAGACUCACCGCAGUAAAAGCAGUUUGAAUGUUUGCAUGUCUUAGCAGGGGUCAGUAACAAGUGUGUAUCAGAAUUAGAUCUUAACACCCCAUCUUACAGAUAUACACUUGGAGAUCAGUUGGAUUCCCUCAUGUAGAGGAAGACACGCUAACAAACAACAUAGGUAAAGUUCCAGAAGCCUUUUCAUGUGUAUAUGUGCACAACCGUCAUCAAAUAAUAAUUAUUCCCCUGUAGAGUUUUUCUUGCAGUUUUGGUGAUGCCUUGGUGACUCACCUGGUACUACACAUAUCAUUGAGUCCUGAAUCCCUGAGUCUGGAUCUGGGUCCAGGCCUGGCCCCCUGUUUCAUCCCACUUUAGCUCUGAUCAUAAAAGGAAAAUGCCCCGAAAAUAUAUUUCAAAAAAUCACCACCUUUAAUCCGUACUUUGCCAUGAAGCAAAGAAACAGCAUUCGAUCAUUUAAUUGGAUUUUUUUAACUUCACAGACUACAUUUAAGUUUUGAAUGGCCUCGUCACAAUAAAAUGAUCCACAGUGAUUCCACAAAUUCUUCAGCCACUCUUUGUGUUAGUUUUUAGAUUUAAUAGUAUGUGCAAUAUGAAACAUAAUAUAAUAAAACGAAAAUAAUAAAGACAAACGUUUUAGUUGGAGCUUUAUAGAGGUAGUCUUGUAAGUAUUAUUACUACCUGGGUCACUACAGAACAGAGAGUUGGCCAUCAAACUGCGUGAGAAACAGCAAAGCAAAUGACCCUGUUCGUCCAAAGAGUGCGAUUUGCAUAAUCAUGCAAAAUCUGUAUGUGACUAGCUGAGCGCUCUCUGUAUCCACAGCCUCCUCGGCUCCAGCUAUCGGCCCAGCGGUGUCAGUGGGUUAUGGAGUCAGUCUAUAUUUAGAGCGGGUCCAGCAAUGUUCCCCCUGUUCUGUCGCUGCUUUUCGAAUGCAGACUAAUCCACCCUGGCUCAGUCGUAACUGUGGCCGAGACCCAUUAGCCAGCGAGCACGACACACAGCACAUGCAGUGAAAAUACAUUAACGUCGUCAAAACCGGCCACUUCUGGUAUAAGUCGUCCUGCAGGGAUGCACAAAGGCUUAUGGGAAAUGUUUGUACUUUCAUUGCAAAGUCAAUCAGGCACAAUAAUCAACAAGGAGUCAGUCGUGUGGUGGUCAGACUUUAACAACAGAAGAAUUUAAUCUCAAGCAUAGAUCUCAAGUUUAAUCUCAAUGCUGUGGCAGUAUUGGUCUUAGAAAGUUGGAAACCUUAACCACUUUUUAUAAUAUUAGAGGACAGAAUAAAUAUUGUGUUCCUGUUUAUAUCUAAAAUAUUUUAUUAUUA